RNAcentral lists this small nuclear RNA (104 nucleotides) under Canis lupus familiaris (dog). The record is from RNAcentral. Lineage: Eukaryota; Metazoa; Chordata; Mammalia; Carnivora; Canidae.
GCGCUUUGGCAGCACAUAUACUAAAAUUGGAAUGGUACAGAGAGGGUUAGCAUGGCCCCCUGCACAGGAAUGACAUGCAAAAUAAUCAAUUAAAAGACUAUAAA